RNAcentral lists this ribosomal RNA (253 nucleotides) under uncultured bacterium. RNAcentral describes it as "partial 16S ribosomal RNA". It matches the Rfam family "Bacterial small subunit ribosomal RNA", at positions 524 to 776 of the family's 1533-position model. The record is from RNAcentral.
UACGAAGGGGGCUAGCGUUGCUCGGAAUUACUGGGCGUAAAGCGCACGUAGGCGGCUUUCUAAGUCGGGGGUGAAAUCCUGGAGCUCAAUUCCAGAACUGCCUUCGAUACUGGAGAGCUUGAGUCCGGGAGAGGUGAGUGGAACUGCGAGUGUAGAGGUGAAAUUCGUAGAUAUUCGCAAGAACACCAGUGGCGAAGGCGGCUCACUGGCCCGGUACUGACGCUGAGGUGCGAAAGCGUGGGGAGCAAACAGG